AUUGAACGCUGGCGGCAGGCCUAACACAUGCAAGUCGAGCGGAUGAAGGGAGCUUGCUCCUGGAUUCAGCGGCGGACGGGUGAGUAAUGCCUAGGAAUCUGCCUGUCAGUGGGGUAUAACGUCCGGAAACGGGCGCUAAUACCGCAUACGUCCUGAGGGAGAAAGUGGGGGAUCUUCGGACCUCACGCUAUCAGGUGAGCCUAGGUCGGAUUAGCUAGUUGGUGGGGUAAAGGCCUACCAAGGCGACGAUCCGUAACUGGUCUGAGAGGAUGAUCAGUCACACUGGAACUGAGACACGGUCCAGACUCCUACGGGAGGCAGCAGUGGGGAAUAUUGGACAAUGGGCGAAAGCCUGAUCCAGCCAUGCCGCGUGUGUGAAGAAGGUCUUCGGAUUGUAAAGCACUUUAAGUUGGGAGGAAGGGCAGUAAGUUAAUACCUUGCUGUUUUGACGUUACCAACAGAAUAAGCACCGGCUAACUUCGUG
Molecule: ribosomal RNA, 484 nt
Filed under: uncultured bacterium
Lineage: Bacteria
Description: partial 16S ribosomal RNA
Rfam family: Bacterial small subunit ribosomal RNA
Source: RNAcentral